UUUACACCAAUUGGACGUGAAGAAUGCCUUUCUUCAUGGUGAUCUCACUGAAGAUAUAUAUAUGCGACCACCAGCAGGCUUAUUUUCCACUCCUACCUCUGCUGUGUGUAAGUUACGCCGCUCCUUGUAUGGUCUCAAACAAGCUCCUCGUGCUUGGUAUGAGAGAUUUACUUCUAUCCUUCUUCAAUUUGAUUUCCUCAAAAGUAAAUAUGAUGCAUCUUUGUUUCUACGUAAGACUGCACAUGGAGUUGUGUUUCUAUUGGUGUAUGUUGAUAAUAUAGUUAUCACCGGUACUGAUUUAGCUCUGAUUGAUCAACUAAAGCAACAUUUGCAGAAAUCCUUCCACAUGAAGGAUCUAGGUCCUCUAACAUAUUUUCUUGGUCUAGAGAUUCAUGCUGGUUCACAUGGCAUAUUUUUAUCCCAACACAAGUAUGCCAUGGACUUGGUGACAGCUGCUGGUCUCCAGAAUUCGCCACCCCUUGAUACUCCAAUGGAAAUUAAUCUCAAGCUAUGCAAAGAUGAGGGUGAUUUAUUAUCAGACCCGGCAGCAUAUCGUACACUCGUGGGCAGCUUGAUCUAUCUUACAAACACUAGACCUGAUAUUUCUUAUGCAGUACAAUAGGUUAGUCAGUUCAUGGCUGCUCCAAGAGACCUCC
Molecule: long non-coding RNA, 656 nt
Organism: Populus euphratica (Euphrates poplar)
Lineage: Eukaryota; Viridiplantae; Streptophyta; Magnoliopsida; Malpighiales; Salicaceae
Exons: 3
Source: RefSeq, a predicted model, not a curated record